RNAcentral lists this long non-coding RNA (33162 nucleotides) under Triticum aestivum (bread wheat). RNAcentral describes it as "long non-coding RNA (TAES_LNC023706)". Lineage: Eukaryota; Viridiplantae; Streptophyta; Magnoliopsida; Poales; Poaceae. The record is from RNAcentral.
AUCGACGCGCGCCGGAGGGGGAGCGGAUCAGUUGGCCGCCGGCUUGAAGGAGGUGAGCUGGCGGGUCUUGGUCCAGGACUGCUCGUAGACCUCGGCGAGGUAGGGCGCGCUCCUGCCGGAGCCGUCGGCCGCGUCGACGAAGAGGCGGUAGUUCAUGCCGGAGACCACCUGCUGCUCGCCGCGCGUGACCCGGCGGAACCGCAGCCCGUCGCUGGCCAGCCUCGCGUGCUGCUCCACCGCCCACCCGCCCAGCUCCUGGAUGUGCGCGUCCCUCACGUCCGGGAUGGGGCCCCACCCGCCGACCCGCGCGCCGCGGCCGCCCAGCGCCGCCGCCGGGGUGGCCGCGGCGAGGGCCGCGGCGAGGAGGGCGAGCAGGAGGAGGACGGGUGCCCGCGCCAUGGAGGAGAUGGCUGGUGUUGGGGGUUGGGAAUUGGGAGCGGUGGUGGAUCUGCUCGAAGCGUCGACGGAAGUGAUUGCGUGAAGGCGGUUUGGUUUGGGUGCGCAUGGGUUGUGAUGGCGAAUUUAUUGGACGGUCUCGGAGCCAAAGGGCCCAUGCGAAGUGGCGAUAGGAGAACGAAUGACUUUUUUGACCCAAACAAUGCACGUGAACGUGAACGCUGCUGUGUGCGGUGAAGACUUCCAAAGCAUCUCAUUCGGCCUCAGUGGCCUCAUAGGGCCCCUCGGCACAUUCCAGAGUGCGCCAACGGUUUUUUCGGCGGUUUUCAGUUUCUUUAUUAUUACUAGAAAAACGCCCGUGCAUUGCAACGGGCACAUUAACUUUAAAAAUUCAAUAUCAAUUAUGUUAAUAUUAUAUUAAAUAUUCUCAUACAUAUUAAGUGACAUUGACGACUUUUUUUUACCAUCAAAUUCUCACACACACCCUCUUCCUCCCUCUUCCUCACUCUCUCUCCUCCUUUCCCUCACUCGGGAGGUGGGACGAAAAUAAACCCGGAACGGAGACUAGCAACUGAGACAUUAGAAGUAGAGAUCAUUUAGUUGAUAAGAAUAAAUAGAAAACGGUGUUAAAAAAAGGAGAAACAUAUUAGAAUACAUUGAAAAACCAAAAGGACGAUGUAAAAAGGGAUUCGCCCUGCCCCUCGGGCCUUGCCACCGAACCGGCUCAGCGGUCCAGUCCCCGCGCGAUCGUCUUCUCCUGUUCCUCGAGCCGCGUCGCUACAGAGCCGGGCCGACUAUGAUGCCCAGUCUAGCCGACUCAACGUGACAUUAGCACUUGUCCAAGUACCAAAGCCCAGGAAUCCUUUACUCUCUGAAGUCAUUGAUCUCUCCACUGUCAUGGCGGACAAGAUGUACGUUGGUUUUUCGGCUUCUGGAGGUUAUGGCGUAGGCACACGCCACUAUCUCCUUGGAUGGAGCUUCAGCAUGGACGGGGUUGCCCCGCUGCUAGACAUCUCCAAGCUGCCCACCCUGCCACACAUGGGUCCCAAGUCUCGCUCCAAGAUGAUGGAUGUCGUGUUGCCACUGGUCGCGGCUUUGCUUGUCAUUGCAGUGCUAGCCAUGGUCUUCUUCUUGUGGCGUCGGCGCCAAUUUGCGGAGGUGCGAGAAGAUUGGGAGGACGAGUUCAGUCCACAUCGUUUUGCAUACAAGGAUCUAUUUCAUGCCACUGAGGGGUUUCCAGGUAGGAAUUUACUUGGUGUAGGAGGAUUUGGAAGAGUGUACAAUGGGGUGCUUUCUGCCUCCAAUCUGGAGGUUGCACUGAAGAGAGUGGCACAUGAUUCGAAACAAGGACUAAGAGAGUUCAUUGCUGAGGUGGUGAGCAUUGGUCGUCUCCGCCACCGGAAUCUUGCGCAGUUACUAGGCUAUUGCCAGCGAAAGGGUGAACUUCUCUUGGUUUAUGACUACAUGGAAAAUGAUAGUCUUGACAAAUACUUGUACAAUAGAAAUAUGCCAACUCUACAAUGGUCUGAGAGGUACCAAAUCAUCAAAGGUGUUGCAUCAAGUUUGUUGUAUCUUCAUGAGGAAUGGGAGCAAAUCGUCAUCCAUAGAGAUAUAAAGGCUAGCAAUUAAUGUGCUCUUGGACAGUCAGUUGAAUGGACGGCUAGGUGAUUUUGGUCUAGCAAGGUUGUACGACCAUGGCACGGUUGCUAAAACAACACAUGUGGUGGGCACCAUGGGAUACCUUGCACCCUAACUUAUACGCACCGGGAAGGCAACACCCUUAACCGAUGUGUUCGCAUUUGGCGUGUUUCUCCUAGAGGUCGCAUGUGGACGUAGGCCAAUUAACAUCAGUAAGGAUGUCACACAAAUAGUGUUGGUCGACUGGGUGCAUGAACGUCACCGCAACAGCUCAAUUCACGACGUGGUAGAUCCACGACUCGUGGGGAAUUUCAACAUAGAGGAAGUCACUCUCGUGCUUAAAUUAUAGGUUUAUUAUGCUCCUACCCAUCAUCCAGUGCAAGGCCUAGCAUGCGGAAGAUCGUGCAAUACCUGGACCGUGGCCAAUCAGUUCCUGGCCUGUCUCCAACCUACGUGAGUUACCGAAAAAGGGUUUCCCCCCGCUUUGUAUUACAAAGCAACAACAUCGAUACAACGGUCCAAUGAUGCAGCGUGAAGGGUUCGAUUCGUACAUAAUACCGUCCAAUUCGUCGAAUAGCACUGUGUGUGGUCAGUCUUCGGUGACAAUUCUGCAGGAGGGGAGGUGAAGGCUUGCAAUUGACGCCUCUUUUUUUUGUUUCUUGUCUCAUUGUUCCUUUAAGUGCUUGUAAUCCACUUCUGAUGUGAGCUUUCCUUUGAAUAUCUUGUGAACCAGGUAUGCUGGGGGACCAAACCGAGUUUUCAUAGUGAUAUUUCUAUUUUGUACAUCAGUUUAGUGGUCAUUAGUGAUAUUACCUCAACUUUCCAGUGACAGUCUCUAGCAAGUCGAUCUGCACCCAUGCACAGUUCUCCCAAAUUAAAUGGUUCACCUAGGUACGCUUACUCUAUGCUAGUUAGAGCAUUUCUAACCGAUCCCCUAAAAUUUAGCGGAGUAAAAGGCUUAAUGAAGGGCUUAGUGGAGUAUAUAUACUUCACUAAGUUUUGGCUGGACCUAGCCGAUCCCCUAAAUAUAACGGACUAACGGAGUAAAUUUUGUUUUUCUAAACUUUGCAAUUCUAGUAUAAAUUGCAACUACAUAUGGCACACAUAUAUAAACUAAACAUAAAUUUAAAUGUUCAACCAAAUUACGAAUAUAGUUUACAAACCGAACUUAAACACGCUGAAUGGUUGAAUGUAGCAAAUAGCAUUUCAUAGAACAACUAGGACGCGCUUAGACGUUGCCAAUGAUGCUCAACAAGAUCUUGUUGGAGCUGAGUAUGAACUUGACAGUUCUCGAUCUUGCGAUGCCCUUCAAGGAAUGUCAAGAUCUUGUUUGUAUCAUACUGUGGCUCAACCGGAAUCCGAUUGGUGAUGUACCGAAAGUUCUAAGGCAUAUCUCUCUCGUCUUCAAGGAUUAUGUUAUGCAAUAUGAUGCAACAAGUCAUGAUUCGCCAUAGAACCUUGGAGUUACAGUACUCGGCAGGGUCACGAACAAUUGCAAAGCGCUUCUGAAGCACAUUGAAGGCUCUUUUCACAUUUUUCCUUGCAGCUUCUUGAUAUUGGGCAAAGUGAGUGUUUUUGUUAUCUUUUGAAUACAUAGACGACGAGCUCGAGACCGUGGACUCCAUGUCUCCAUGUGAGCAGAUAGCCACUAACUCUAGCGGGCCUAUCAUUCCUAGUACGAGGCAGACGUAUUACGCUGAAUUCAACGUUUCAGCACACUGAAAAUCAUUCCCCUUAUUUUCCUGCUUCCUUCCACAUGCAACGGCGAACGCUCCUUGCCUUGCCCUGCGUGGCACGGUGCUUGAUUACCCAGCUAACCAGUCACUGCGAAAACAGAUCGAGACUCCAAAUUCAUAUGCUAACAAUGAGAAAACAAAGAAAACCAAUGUAAUAUGAGGAUAAAAUGAAAAAAAAUGUGAAAGACAAUAAAAACAACAAAUAAGAGAUAACAAAUAAGGAAAAAUGGACUGAACGAACCUGCAGCGACCGCUAUGAGCGCCAGCGACUACCGCGCUAAAAGCGCCAGCCCACUAGUGGUAGCCCGUAGGCAAUUCCUGUUAGGAGUCGGUUCGGGCGACCGAUAGCUGUUGCGCUCAUCUUCGUACGUGUGGAUCGAGACUCCAAACUCAUAUGUUUCUAUUAUGGCCCGCUAAAAUACCAAACUAAUCUUUUCGCCCCCCGAUUUUCACCGGGGUGGGCCCCUUACGUCAAAAUACGUAGAUCACGUACUUCUUACGUAAAUAGAAAACGGGCCCGAUCUUCCCUCCUAGUGAUCCAAUAAUAAUCCUCCAGGGUACUUCUUACGUAAAUCACGUACCAAACUUUACGUAGGUCUAGCAUUACUCCCCGUUUCCCUCCUCCCAACUAUACCUGGGCAUAACUUGGGCCGGACCGAGCUUCAGGCCAGGCCUAACAAAGACCGAAGCAGAAAACCUAGGCCCGUCCCGGCUGUGUGGCCUAGUUUUCAGGCCCAAGCCCGGCCUAUCAGACAAAAAGCCCAUUGGGCCUCAGGCUAGGCCUCUUCCUUAAAUUGCAAAUACGACAAGCUCGAGCCCGGCCAAGCCCAGCCAUCAGGCUCAAAAUCUAGGCCUAGGCCUAGCCCAUGGGCAAGGUCGGGUCGGCCUCUUUUGGUCCGCGUCGGGUCAGCGGGCCGGGCUGCGCAUGGCUAGGUAUACUCCCAACUAUUGCUAGCACCAACUUCCACCUGACACGCGCUUCAGCCUAUUGAGGUAGAAGGCAUACAUAGACGACGAGGUCGAGAACAAGGACUCCAUGGGAGCAGAUAGCCAUUAACUGUAGCAGGCCUAUCUAUCAUUCGUAGUAGUACGAGGCAGACGUAUUGCGUUGAAAUUCAUAGUAGUACGAGGCAGACGUAUUGCGUUGAAUUCAACGUUUCAGCACACAGAAAAUCAUUUCCGGUAUCGGCCACAGGAGGUACCCUCCCCCUCAUUUUCCUGCUUUCUUCCACGUGCAACGACGAACGCUCCUUGCCUUGCCCCGCGAAAGGGUCACUGCGAAAGAUACUCAAGAAAAAUGGUAUUCCUUGUCAAAAUACGUCCUCCUCAGUGUAGUUUCCACAGCCCAAAGCUAGAAAACCAAGCCUGCAAGGCUCCAAUCACCCAUCCACAACGUCAGAAGAAGAACCUUGGUCUGCUAGCUCCUCCUUGCAAGUGUGACAAGGCGCCAUGCUUUCUCAGUCUCUGCUCGCGCUUGGUUUGCUCCUCCUGCUGAGCCUGAGCCUCGACGGAGAGGUGGCUCUAGCGGCGGAAGACGGCGAGUUCGCCUACCAAGGAUUCGCCACGGCGAACCUUACGCUGGAUGGCCUCGCCACCGUCAUGCCCAACGGCCUCCUGCUGCUCACCGACACGGAGUCCUCGAACACGGGCCAUGCCUUCCACCCCGCGCCACUCCAGUUCCUCCUCGAAAGUUCCACCACGACGACGAGCAGCACCACCAUGGCGCGGUCCUUCUCCACGACCUUCGUGUUUGCCAUUUCGUCCAGGUACGAUGGCCUGACCAGCUACGGGCUUGCGUUCGUGGUCGCUCCGACCUCGAACCUCUCGACUGCGAACGGCGGGCGGUACAUGGGCCUCCUCAACGCGACAAACGGCACGGCGAGCCACCGCAUCCUGGCGGUCGAGCUCGACACCAUCAUGGACGUCGCGUUCCGCGACAUCGACAGCAACCACGUCGGCAUCGACGUCAACAGCCUAGUCUCACGGCAGGCCAAGCCGGCUGGGUACUACAGCAACGAGAACGGCGCCUUCCAAGAUCUGAGGUUGAACAGCCGCAAACCGAUGCAGGUGUGGGUGGACUAUGACGCCCAAGCCAGGCGAAUCAAUGUGACAUUAGCACCUGUGCAGGUACCAAAGCCCAGGAAUCCUCUACUCUCCGAGGUUAUUGAUCUCUCCACGGUCAUGGUGGACGAAAUGUACGUCGGCUUUUCUGCUUCUAGCGGUACUCCCGGUGACAAUCACCACUCUGUCCUUGGAUGGAGUUUCAGCUUCGACGGACCUGCCCCGGCGCUAGACUUCUUCAAGCUUCCCGCCCUGCCACGCCUAGGUCCCAAGCCUCGGUCCAAGAUCUUGGACGUCGUGUUGCCACCGGCCACGGUAUCGCUUGUCAUUGCCGUGCUAGCUGCCGUCUUCUUCUUCUUGUGGCAUCGGCGCCGAUUUGCCGAGGUGAGAGAAGAUUGGGAGGAUGAGUUCGGCCCACACCGUUUCGCAUACAAGGAUUUAUUUCAUGCCACUGAGGGGUUUUCGGGUAGGAAUUUACUUGGAGUAGGAGGAUUUGGAAGAGUGUACAGAGGAUUGCUUUCUGCGUUCAAUUUGGAGGUUGCGGUGAAGAGGGUGUCACAUGAUUCUAAACAAGGACUAAGGGAGUUCAUUGCGGAGGUGGUGAGCAUUGGCCGUCUCCAACACCGGAAUCUCGCACGGUUACUAGGCUACUGCCGUCGGAAGGGUGAACUUCUCUUGGUUUAUGAGUACAUGGAAAAUGGUAGUCUUGACAAGUACUUACAUACUCAAAAUAAGCCAGCUCUACAUUGGCCUGAGAGGUUUCGGAUCAUCAAAGGUGUCGCAUCAAGCUUGUUGUAUCUUCAUGAGGAAUGGGAGCAAAUUGUCAUCCAUCGAGAUAUAAAGGCUAGCAAUGUGCUCUUGGACAGUCAGAUGAAUGGACGGCUCGGUGAUUUUGGUCUAGCAAGGUUAUACGACCAUGGCACAGUUUCUAAAACAACACAUGUGGUGGGCACCAUGGGGUACCUUGCACCGGAACUUAUACGCACCGGGAAGGCAACACCCUUAACCGAUGUGUUCGCAUUUGGUGUGUUUAUCCUUGAGGUCGCAUGUGGGCCUAGACCAAUCAACAGUAGCAAGGAUAUCACAGAGUUAGUGUUGGUCGAUUGGGUGCUUGAACAUCACCACAACGGCUCAAUUCUCGACGUGGUCGAUCCACGUCUUAUGGGGAAUUUCAACACAGAGGAAGCCACCCUCCUGCUCAAAUUAGGUUUGUUAUGCUCCUACCCAUCGGCCAAUGCAAGACCUAGCAUGCGAAAGGUCAUGCAAUACCUGAACCGCGACCAGUCAAUUCCUGACCUGUCCGCCUACAUGAGUUACAACAGGAUAGCAAUGAUGCAGAAUGAAGGGUUCGAUUCAUACGUAAUGUCGUACCCUUCAUCGAAUACGAAUAUUUGUGUUGUAUCUGGUGAGUCUUCGGUGUCGAUUCUUGAAGAGGGAAGGUGAAUGCUUUUAAUUAACACCUCUCUUUUUUAUUCUUCUCUCAAUGUUCCUUUAAGAACCUGUAAUCCAUAUUGGAUCUGAGUUUGUCUAAGUGAACUAGUUCUAUCUCAUGCAUGAGUUUCAGUAAUCAGUAACACUUUUGGUAAGGAAAUAGAGGUAACCGCCAUUUGCCGAGACUCCGGAGUCCACUAGUAGUCCCUGGCGAGGUGUAAGCUUAGUUAUGGAUUUGCUUAUCGAUAUCCUAAGAGCAUCUCAAACAGAUGAUGAAAAAUUGGUGUCGUGAAAACAAUAUAGGGCAGAAGAGAGAGAGAAUUCAUCACCGCCACGGUUGCUGCUUUAACAGAUGUGGUAAAAGUGAUGCCCAAAAUUUUUGCCCUCCUCAGCCGCUGUUCUCCACUCCAACAUUGCAUACAUAAUUCAAACAAAAACCUGUGAUUACGGGGAAUUUGGCUACGGUCUCCCCUAAUCUCUCCGCUAAACCUCCCCUAAUCCCCCCCUAAAAUAUGGGGAAUUUAUGCUGCCUAGGCAUCAAGCUCUAUGAACCAAUCAAUAAUUUUGUGUAUGGUUUGGACCGAAACCAGUUUCUGUUGAAUUUGUACGAGCAUAUGGCGAUGUAGCUAUAAACUGUUGCAGUUUGGACCGAAGCGAGUUUCAGGAGAAUUAGCAACUUAAUAAUCUAGCACAAAGUACGUGCACAACAUGAACUGUUGCGGUUUGGUUAAGUUUCAGUUGACUGAGACCUAUUCACACCCUUUAAGUAUCCGGUUCUUUCUACCAACUUUCACCUGAGGACAUACAUAUUGAGGUAGAAGACAUACAUAGACGACGAGUUUGAGACCAUGGACUCUGUGGAAGCAGAUAGCCAUUAGUGUCACGGGCCUAUCAUAUUCUACGAGGCAGGCGUAUUACUUUGAAUUCAACAUUUCAGCACACUGAAAAUCAUUUUCAGCAUCAGUCGUCGCUGUGUCCAUGAGGUACCCUCCCCCUUACUACCUCUGUCCUGAUUUAUUGUCCCUUUUUGUAUUUUAUGUCAAACUUUGACCGUAAAUUUAAGUAACAAAAACUUAAUGCAUGUCAAAACAAAUUAUAUCGUUGAAUUCAUAUUUAAACAUAGUUUUCGAUAAUAUUACUUUUACUAUAUAUAAUAUAUAUUUAUUAGCUCAAAUCAUAGUCAAAAUAUGAACCUAAGUACGAGAAGGACUAAUAAACAAGGACGGGGGCACUACUUUCCUGCUUCCUUCCACGUGCAACGACUACGCUCUCUGCCUUGCCCCGCACGGCACGGUGCUUAAUUACCCAGCUAACGAGUCACACUGCGAAAGAUACUCCAGAUCCGAAAAAUGGUAUUCCUUGUCAACACACGUCCUUCUUCGUGUAGUUUCCACAGCCCGGCGUCUCCUCUUCACCGUCAAAGCAAUCACCCAUCCACAACGUCAAAAGGAGAGGCUUGGUCUGCUCCUUGCAAGUGUGACGAGGCGCCAUGCUUUCCGAGUCUGUGCUUGCGCUUGGUCUGCUCCUCCUGCUGAGCGUGAGCCUCGACGGAGAGGUGGCUCUGGCGGCGGAAGACGGCGAGUUCGCCUACCACGGCGAACCUUGCGCGGGAUGGCCUCGCCACCGUCACGCCCGGCGGCCUCCUCCGUGGCGAAGCCAGGAGUUCAAAGUUGUGAUGUCAAUUCAAAAUUAUGAUGUCAAGUAGUUGUAUUUAGAUUAAUUCUAUAUUAUUUUUGGGACGUUUUCUACUGAUUUGGCCUUAAUCCUGUGUAGUCAACGACUACCCAGAACACCCCUAGCACCGCCACUCUCACCAACUCGGAUCACCCGACGAAAGACCACGCCUUCCACCCUUCGCCGCUCCGCUUCCGCACAGGUUCCACGACGACGACGACGACGGUGAAAAACACCACCGCCAUGGCGCGGUCCUUCUCUACGUCCUUCGUCUUUGCCAUCAUGUCCAGCCACGGGCUUGCUUUCGUGGUAGCUCCGACCUCCAACCUCUCAACGGCGAACGGCCAGCAAUACCGGCCUCCUCAACGCGACAAACGGCACGGCGAGCGACCCCAUUUUGGCGGUCGAGCUCGACACCAUCAUGGACGCCAAGUUCCACGACGUCGACAGCAACCACGUGGGCAUCGACGUAAACAGCCUCAUCUCACGGCAGGCCAAGCGGGCUGGGUACUACCGCGACGAGGACGGCGCCUUUCAAGAUCUGAGGCUGAACAGCCGCAGGCCGAUGCAGGUGUGGGUUGACUACGACGCCAUGGCCAGGCGACUCGACGUACCAAAGCCCAAGAAUACUUUGCUCUCCCAAGUCAUUGAUCUCUCCACGGUCAUGGCGGACAAGAUGUACGUUGCCUUCUCGUCUUCGUCAGGAAUCGACUCCACGCACCACUAUGUCCUUGGAUGGAGCUUCAGCUUGGACGGGCCUGCCCCGCCUCUCGACUUCUCCAAACUCCCUGCUCUGCCACAUGUGGGUCCCAAGCCUCGGUCUAAGAUCUUGAACGUCGUGCUGCCACUGGCUUCGUCAUUGCUUGUCAUCGCAGUGCUAGGUGUUGUCUUCUUCAUUUUGUGGUAUCGACGCUGAUUUGCCGAGGUGAGAGAAGAUUGGGAGGAUGAGUUUGGCCCACAUUGUUUCCGAUACAAGGAUUUGUUUCAUGCCACCGAGGGGUUUUCAAGUAGGAAUUUACUUGGUGUAGGAGGAUUUGGAAGAGUGUACAGAGGAUUGCUUUCUCCGUCCAAUCUGGAGGUUGCGGUGAAGAGGGUGUCACAUGAUUCUAAACAAGGAAUAAGUGAGUUCAUUGCAGAGGUGGUGAGCAUUGGCCGUCUCCACCACCGGAAUCUCGCACGGUUACUAGGCUACUGCCAUCGAAAGGGUGAACUUCUCUUAGUUUAUGAGUACAUGGAAAAUGGUAGUCUUGACAGGUACUUGUACGAUAAAAAUAAGCCAACACUACACUGGCCUCAGAGGUAUAAGAUCAUCAAAGGUGUUGCAUCAAGUUUGUUGUAUCUUCAUGUGGAGUGGGAACAAAUCGUCAUCCAUCGAGAUAUAAAGGCGAGCAAUGUGCUCUUGGACGGUCAGAUGAAUGGACGGCUGGAUGAUUUUGGUCUAGCAAGGUUAUACGACCAUGGCACGGUUGCUAAAACAACACAUGUGGUGGGAACCAUGGGAUACCUUGCACCGGAACUUAUACGCACCGGGAAGGCAACACCCUUGACCGAUGUGUUCGCAUUUGGCGUGUUUCUCCUAGAGGUUGCAUGUGGGUGUAGACCAAUCAGCUGCAGGAAGGACAACACACAAACAAUGUUGAUUGAAUGGGUGCUUGAACAUCACCGCAAUGGAUUAGUUAUCGAUGUGGUAGAUCCACGGCUCAUGGGCAAUUUCAACAUAGAGGAAGCCACCCUCGUGCUCAACUUAGGAUUAUUGUGCUCCUACCCAUCACCAAGUGCAAGGCCUAGCAUGCGAAAGGUCGUGCAAUACCUGGACCGUGGUCAGUUAAUUCCUGACAUGUCUCCAACCUAUGUGAGUUACAACAUGAUAGCGAUGAUGCAUAACGAAGGGUCCGGUUCGUACAAAAUGGCAUGCACUUUGUCGAAUACUUAGCAUUUGCUCUGUAUCUGGUGAGUCUUCAGUGACCGUUCUACAAGAGGGGAGAUGAAUGCUUGCAAUUGAAUCUUCUCGUUUUAUUCUCCUUUAGCUAUUUUCAAGCGCUUAUAAUCAAACCGUGACAUGAGUUUCCCUUUUAAUAUCAUGUGAUCCGAGUAUGCUGGUGGAAGCUCUUUUACUUGUGUAUGUAUGAAACCAUGUUUUCAUAGUGAAAUAAUUAUGUCUCGAGCAUCAAUUUUAGUAACCAGUAACACUACGGAUGUAAAGUAAUCAAUUGUACUCCCUUCAUUUCAUAUUAAUUGUUGCCGAUUUAAUACAACUUUGUACUAAAUCAACGACAAUUAACAUGGAUCGAAGGGAGUAUCAAUCUCUAGUGCUGGUGCUUUGUUGCUACUAGACUUGCACAUUUCCAUAGUGGGCCAAAGAGGCCCCUCAGUGCACGACUAUAUGACAUGUCAAUUGGCACCUUGGGUCAGGACAGAGCAUCAGCUGUCGGCACAGAAUACAUCCCAAGGGAGCACGCGGCGGUACAUAGGGUGAGGGUACAUGGUCGCAUUGUUGUAGGUCUGGACAGGAAGUUCGGGAUCGAGGUUUGGUUGGGUUCGACUCGGGUCGAAGGUCCAACAAGCCAAGUCCAAACCUUCAGUCAAGCUCGUGAAGCUCGACAAGCCGGCUAGAGACUUGAUGAACAAAAAAUCCGCACGGCCUUUGCUAAAAAAAUAGCAAUAUACUUUCUCCGUUCACUAUUAUAAGAUGUUCUAACUUUUUUCUGAUUUGGAUGUAUAUAGACGCAAUUUUAUGUGUUUGUUCACUCAUUUUGGUCCGUAUGUAGUCCAUAUUAAAAUACCGAAAAUAUCUUACACUAUUUGUGAAGAGUAUUAAUUAAGACCAAUAGUUCACAAUUAUAUAACAUGAUAUAGACAUUGCACCCACUCAUAACAUAGUCUAUCAAGUAGACAUAAAGUCCCAGCGAAACUAGUAAGACUACUCGAUGCAUUAUUGUCCGUCAAUUGAACAGGUCUAAAUGUGGACAAAUUUGAACAUGUGCGAGGACCCGCAGUCCGGCACAUGUAGUAGUACGUAGCAAUCUUUACAGUUGUGAUUUAGCUUAGUUCUCGUCCCAAAGCGCAGGCGCAGGCACCACGUGUACAAUUUUCCUUACAGACAUAUGCAGAGGAUGAUGGAUCAUGGAUGCUCAGAGGAAGACAAAUCAGCAAUGUUCCUAAUGUCCCAUCCCCGGCCCGAAGCAAGCGGUGAAUAAAUUUACAAGUACUCACUGAAGCAAACAUUCACAUGGCGGUACCAAACUAUAACUGUGACGCCAACCAACUAGUGAAAAAAGAAGUCAUUUUGCAUCGAAGGGUCGAUCGGAAUCAAAGAGUUGAUGAGACACUGUCAUGGCUGGUCCGGGAUGAACUAGAUAUGCGACAGUACUGUCAGAGAUGCCCAAGAAGUCCAUGGAUAUCUCAUUCAGACAUGCUUAUUUUCCUGCCUUCUUCCACGUGCAAUGACAAAUUAACGUUCUUGCACAGCUUACCCAGCCAACGAGUGACUAGACUACUGCGAAAGAUACUCUACUCGCAAAAAGAAAGCAGCGCUACUCACUGCAAGGCUCGGAUUGUUACUUGCCGGACACGCCCGUUAUCCCGUGUAGUUUUCUGCCCGGCGUCUUGCUUGUAUGAGCUUGGAGCUAUGUGCGAGUCCGAGUCUUCGUGAGAUAUUUUGCUUGCUUGAGCUGUGAGCUGUGUGUGGGUGCCUCGCAGCUUCCUGUGAGCAAGCUCCUAAUGCAGGCCUGGGUGGUGUGUGGUUUGCUUCAUUCGUUCACGGUCUACCUAGAGUUCCCAGCCGCUGAAUCUUUGCUCUAUAUAAAUGUGGAGAAGGAAGCGCUGCGCAAGCUUGUCAAGGAACCAUGCAGUCUCUGCUAGCCCUUGGUCUGCUCCUGCUGCUGAGGCUCGAUGGAGGUGUGGCCGUGGCGGCGGAAGACGGCCGGUUCGCCUACCAAGGCUUCGCCGCCGCGAACCUCACGCUAGACGGCGUCGCCGCCGUCACGCCCAACGGCCUCCUGCUGCUCACCGACACGGAGUACCAGACAACAGGCCAUGCCUUCCACCCUGCACCACUCCGCUUCCUCGAGAGCUCCACCACGACGACGAACAGCGCCGCCGCCAUGGCGCGGUCCUUCUCCGUGUCCUUCGUGUUCGCCAUUAGGUCCAGAUACGACGGCCUGACCAGCUACGGGCUUGCGUUCGUCGUCGCGCCGACCUCCAACCUCUCAGCUGCCGAGAGUGGGCGGUACCUGGGCCUCCUCAACGGGACAAAUGGCACGGCGAGCGAUCCCAUCUUGGCGGUCGAGCUCGACACCAUCAUGGACGUCGAGUUCCGCGACAUCAACAGCAACCACGUCGGCAUCGACGUCAACAGCCUCAUCUCACGCCAGGCCAAGCAGGCUGGGUACUACAGCGACGAGAACGGCGCCUUUCAAGAGCUGAGGCUGAACAGCCGCCAACCGAUGCAGGUCAUGGUUUUCACUUUCACUGUAAUUUCAUCAUGUCAGCAGUUAUAGCAGUACACAUAAAUUCAAAUUAUUUUCAAACUAACCUUUUGGAUUUGAAAAAUAUUUGGUUGGAUCUCAAUCAAAUUCAAGUGAAAAUUUCCGUCCUCUGUCCGAAAUAAAAACCUAAAUCACUGAUUUCAGAUAUGGCUUAAAUAUUUCUAAAACUGAAAUUCAAAACCAUGUGCAGGUGUGGGUAGACUAUGAUGCACAGGUCAGACGACUCAAUGUGACUUUAGCGCCCGUGCAGCUACCAAAGCCCAAGAUUCCUCUACUCUCCGAACUCAUUGAUCUCUCCUUAAUCAUGGCGGACAAGAUGUAUGUCGGCUUUUCGGCUUCCGGAGGUUGGGGCGUAGGUACGCACCACUAUGUCCUUGGAUGGAGCUUCAGCUUGGACGGACCUGCCCCGCCGCUAGACUUCUCCAAGCUUCCUGUCCUACCACGCCUGGGUCCCAAGCCUCAGUCGAAGAUCUUGGAUGUCGUGUUGCCACUAGCCGCGACAUUGCUUGUCAUUGCAAUGCUAGCUGCCAUCUUCUUCUUCUUGUGGCAUCGGCGUCGAUUUGCUGAGGUUCGAGAAGAUUGGGAGGACGAGUUCGGCCCACACCGUUUCGCGUACAAGGAUCUAUUUCAUGCCACUGAGGGGUUUUCCGGUAUGAAUUUACUUGGUGUGGGAGGAUUUGGAAGAGUGUAUAGAGGAGUGCUUUAUGCGUCCAAUUUGGAGGUUGCGGUGAAGAGAGUGUCACAUGAUUCAAAACAAGGAAUAAGGGAGUUCAUCGCAGAGGUGGUGAGCAUUGGUCGUCUCCGCCACCGUAAUCUCGCUCAGUUACUAGGCUACUGUCGGCGAAAGGGUGAACUUCUAUUGGUUUAUGAGUACAUGGAAAAUGGUAGUCUUGACAAGUACUUGUACAAUAAAAAUAAGCCAGCUCUACAUUUAUCCGAGAGGUAUCGGAUCAUCAGAGAUGUUGCAUCAAGUUUGUUGUAUCUUCAUGAGGAAUGGGAGCAAAUCGUCAUCCAUCGAGAUAUAAAGGCUAGUAAUGUGCUCUUGGACAGUCGAAUGAUUGGACGGCUUGGUGAUUUUGGUCUAGCAAGGUUAUAUGACCAUGGGACGGUUACUACAACAACACAUGUGGUGGGCACCAUGGGGUACCUUGCACCAGAACUUAUACGCACAGGAAAGGCAACACCCUUAACCGACGUGUUCGCAUUUGGCGUGUUUCUCUUAGAGGUCGCCUGUGGGCGUAGGCCAAUUGGAAGUAGCAAGGACAUCACACAAGUAGUGUUGGUUGACUGGGUGCUUGAACAUCACCGCAGUGGCUCAAUUCUCGAUGCGGUGGAUCCAUGUCUCAUGGGGAAUUUUAACACAGAGGAAGCCAGCAUCCUUCUCAAAUUAGGUUUAUUAUGUGCCUACCCAUCGCCCACUGGAAGGCCUAGCAUGCGGAAGGUCAUGCAAUACCUAGACCGUGACCAGUCAAUUCCUGACCUAUCUCCAACAUACGCGAGUUACAGCACGAUAGCAAUGAUGCAGAAUGAGGGGUUCGAUUCGUACAUAAUGUCGUGUCCUCCGUCGAACACGAGUAUCAGCAUUGUACCUGUCGAGUCUUCAGUGGAGAUUCCGCAAGAGGGGAGGUGAAAGCUUGUAACUGAAUCCUCUCUUUUAUUCUUCUCGCAAUGUUCCUGUAAGUGCCAUGUUUGAUCUGCGUUUGUCCAAGUAUCCCAAGGGGAGAUCCUUUGCUAUUGUAUGACACCGAGUUUUCAUAGUGAAAAUUCUCCUCGUGCAUGAAUUUCAGUAGUCCGUAACACUUUUGGUAAGGAAAAAUAGUGGUAACCGCCAUUUCCAGGUGAUCUUUAGCCAAUAUACGUUGCGUUUUUAAGCAAUUAGGUUGAUAUUUAAGCCAAUAUAUAAACGGAAUCGACAAAAUCAACCAUGGAGAAUUAACAACUUCAUCCAGCACGGAGUAUGGGCGCAACAUAUAACUAGCAGCAAGCCCAUUGCCAGCAGCAGUACCAACAAGAACAAGUUGCUUCCUUCCAUCGGUAGCAGCAGCAAGGAGGAAAUGCAGCAGAAUGUCAAGCAAAAUCCCACCGUUAGGUAAAUAAAAGUGCUUGUACACGACUGACUACCCUCAACUUAGGAGGGUCUUGUGAGUUGUGACUCUUGUACCACUUGCGCCACUCACCACAUUUCAAGAACAAGUACCAAGUUUGAGUGCCCCCGUGAUGGCUGCAAGCCUGUAAGUAUAAUCCCUGACCAUACAAGCUGAAUAAACCCCAAUCUUGGCUGACCAACCAAAUCAAUCAAGCUGUUGCUACUAUGCUUCUUUUCUCACUUGAACAUGGAGACGUCGAAGACGCGUGCUGAUUUAUCAGUGGAGACCGAGACUAUGGAGUUGCCGUCGGCAGAGACAGCCAGCGACUGCACGACGUCCCUGUGCCCGCUGAAGGUGUGAGCCAAGUCCCCGGAGAGGCUGUCCCAGAUGCGCACCAUGCCGUCGAUGCACCCCGACGCCACAUACCUCGACGAACCCAGCCACGCCAGGCAUGUCACGCCUUCCUGCUUGUCAAACACCACCAAUAACGGUAAGUUCACAGAAACAUGGAGAUAUUAUAAAGCAAAAAUGUAGAUUGAUUUCUACACUCACAUCAUGCUCGCAAGUAGAUCGAAUUGCUUGACGGGCGAGGUCCCAGAUAAUCAGAGUUCUAUCAAUGCUCCCUGUAGCCACCCAGUUGUACCUGCAGAUAACAGGGGCACCAGCUAGCUUAGGUCAAUAGCAAGGCAAUGUGCAUUGUGCAACAGAUUUACCAUACAGACUCCAACGAUCCAAGGACAUAUCACCAAACAGUACCUCGAUGAGAUGCCAAUGCACUCGAUGGAAUUGGUGUGGCCAACUAAUGAACCAACAACCUGCAGAACAACCGACACUUCUUACACAAAGAUCCACCAGCACAUAUUUCUAAAAGCUCAAGAACUACCAACAGAGUACAAGUAAAUUUCCUAAGAAAACAAAACCAGGAGUUUAUCUUAGGAACAAAAACCCUACAGAAGUUGCUACAACCAAAACAAGGUAAUCAGUAAUCAAAAUAUUCUUACAUAAUCUACCAUACAAAACAAACCAAUAGUCAGAACCACAAGUUGCAUCAAGUAAGCCAACUUGCAUUAGAAGAUUUAUCAACCUUUUUUCUGUUUGAAGGGAGAAAGACUAUGGAAAGAAAAGGAAACACUUGAACCAUAAAAUGCACCCACCUGGCCUGAGUUUAUGCUCACAAUGUGCACAGAAUUAUCCUCCGAGCCACUAACAAUUGAUUGGGAGUCCGGAGUAAUGGCUAAGCAUGUCAAUCCUUGAGUAUGAUAGCCAUGACCUAGAAUAAGGUAAAGGAUUGGAUGGUAAAGUUCAGGGUUGACAGAGAACGUACAGAAACAACCAUAUGAAUAUAUGAUAAUUACAACAUAGAAAAUUAUUUACCCCGAACAACAUGUCUGCAUUGUGCGCUUUUGGGUUCCCAUAUCCUCAAUGUUGCAUCAUCAGAUCCACUACAUAUAAGCUUACCUUCAUAAUGAAACACGUGAAUUAGCUAAAAAUGAAUAUACUACAUCGGAGAUAUGAACUUCUAAAGUAAGCAAGUAAAAAUGAACUAAAAUGUUAAAGCAUCAUACAGGUCAUUCUGUUAUUUGCCCUUGCUAUUUUUUUUAUCAUCACUUCUAGUUCAACAGAAAUUAGCUUAGAACACAACUUAGCAGAAGAAAUGUUAAAUACCCCAUGAUCCAUAUGUUUCUCUGAAGUUUGAACUGAUAUGAAGAAGCUCUGUGUUGAUAACUAAAAACAGAUUGUCACAAACAAGGGUACAUUUUCAUGCCGGGGCAUUCCAGAAGCAGGACAAAUAAAGUCCAGAUUUGGGUGGUAUAUUAAACCUUAUUCAGAGGUUGCUUAACAACAUUAACAAUGCAUGAUAUAAAUAAAACUGGAAGAAAUUGCUCAGUACCAUCAGGGGUAAAAUCACCACAUGUCACUGUGCUACUGUGACCAGCAAACGUAUUCAGAAAGGCAUUGUGGUCAGCAUUCCACAUCCAUACGUUACAGUCUUCUGAUCCUGCAAUUAUCAAAUUACCACGUGGAUGCCAUCUGAGCCACUACAAAACAAAAGACAUAUAGUUACACCGCGUAACUAAUCAUCGAUUACCGCAAUGGAAACGGCUAUGGAUAUAUAGUCAGCCAAAUGAAAUAGACCAGGAUCAUCUCACCUCAAAGCCUGAUCCUGAGGAACCCUCGAGGGUUCCCUGAAGUGUCCGUGUAGCUGUAUUCCAUACAUUUAUCUGUCCAUCCAUACUUCCACAAGCCACCAAUUUCCCAUCUGAACUAAAAGCCACAGUGCACACCGUGUCUCCAUGUCCUGUAUCGGCAAUAGGUAUUGUAAGCUUGGUAGACAAUUCUAGGCAUAUACUGACACAUUAAGGUACAUAUCGAUGCGAAGUAAACAGAAAAAUAAAGCUUUGCCGCAAAAAAAUCAUGAAAAGAUUGCUAAGAGAUAUCAAAUAUACUUUUGUAUUUAUAUAGAUAUCAGAAAUAGAAACAGGCAUUUUAAGCGCAGUGAUAGGUGAUGAAGCAUAGAGAAAGUUCCAAGAAACGUUUGCACAGAAAAAUCAAGUACGGAAACCUCACUAGACUACUGAAGAUGAGCUAACCGUACCAGUCAGCUCCUGAAAAUCCUGUGCAGAUCCAAUCCUCCAAAGAAACCCUCUGUCAUCUUUACCUCCAGACACAACAAGUGAUGCAUCUGUAGGACUGCACGCAGCAGCAAAGACCUCAUCUGUAUACAAGAUAUGAAGACCAACUAUUACCAGAAUUGUUUUUCAGUGCACGCGUACUCUGCAUGGUGAAUCUAACUAACUUAUAGUGGAAAGCAACGAAUCAUCACAAGAUGUAGUAAGUUAAUUUGCUCGAUGAGGUCUUGCCUGUAUGCCCAUGAAAUGCAUAAGUUGAAUGAUCCUCCACCUCAUCUGAAACAACAAAGAACAAAAUGAAACUUGAAUUACUAGCACAUUUUGAAUUACUGGCACAUUUAAAUCUCACAGUGCAAGUAUUUCAGAUUAUUCGGAGUGAGCUUAAUGUAAAGUAAGCAAAUAACUAGUAGCAUGGCACCAACGUUUAUCAAAAUGAAAAUGUGAGGUACUCCUGGAAGAAGAGUCAUGGCUGAGCUCACUUACAAAAAGAUUUAGUGAAAAGGACAUAUCCUUUCGUCAUUGCUAAAAGACAUUAUCUUAUUCCAGUAAGAACAAACGCAAUCGAAAUAUGUUAGCCUUGUGAACAGUAUGACAAUACUAAACCAGGUGAAUCCUGAAUAAGAUACUACAGAGGGUGAAGUUUGGUACGGUGUAUAAUUUUCUAGGCCAGAAGUAGCAGGGAAAUAGUCUAAUUAAUAUCAUUGUUUUGUGGAGGAUCAAAACCCCAUGACCCAUGAGCGAAGGCUAACAAUUGGGCUAGCACGCCCUGAACAUAACCAGUCCUAGCAAGUUCAACGGUAGACAGAAACGCCAGUAUCAGCUGCCACAUACCCAUCUCUUGGUCUUCCUCAUCGUCAUCAUCAUCGUCAUGGUCGGGGAGAUCUGAACAAGGACAGCAGUAAGCACAGAGCAAGCAAAAGGGAGGAAGAGCCUGCUAGCCGCUAGGCAGGAUGAGGAGAAUUGCUGACCUUCCUCGUCGAGGUGUAUCUCCUGGAUGAUGUCCUGCUCGUCGAUGAAGACCUCCUCGCCGUCAGAGCCUUCGUCGGGGACCUCGCCUGAGAUACUCAUGGCCGCCGGUGGUGCCGCGGGCGUCUUGGCUGCUGCGAGCGUGGCCGGAGAGAACGGUAGCGGGUCCUCACUUCCUGCCGCGCUUCUCUGCGGCGCGGAGGCGUUCGAGAUUAAGAGGGUGUUCGGUUGGGCUGCGUAAACAGAUGAAAACAUUCGUGUAAACAGAUGCAUGCUGCUCAACAUCUCACUCACAUACACAAGCACGUACGACGACAUGAAUCAAUUCAUAUGCAUAAACAUGGCACCCAUCAGCAAUUGCAUCUAAACAUACACAGCGAUGGCGUCAAUUCAUAAACACCACAAGCAAACAUCUUAUCAAUUUCUUCUUCUAUAUACACAAGCAAGCAUCCAUAUCAAGCGAAACAUGGCAUCAGUUCAUGUAAAGAAAUUUUUUUUUUAAAAAAGAGAAAGAUGGAGAUUACCUUGCUGCGUGGUGCAGAGGAGGAGCGAGGAGGUGUUGCAGAGCUCAAAUCUGUCGUCGCCGUAGGACAGGAGGUCGGUAGCCGGACCCGCUGUAGGCCGAUACGUUGCGAGGAGGAGCCGACGGCGAGAUAGGGGGGCGCGGGUGGAGGUGCGGGGAGAGGGGCGAUAGGACGGCGGUGGCCGGAAUCAAGCGACGGAGACGUGCGGGUGGCUGCGGGUCGUUGGUGGGUGGCGAGGGGGUGAGCGGCGGCAGGCCGGUGAGAGGGGGAGAGAGGAAGUGGAGGAGGAUGGAGGGGAAGAUAUGUCGCGUGGCCGCGUGGGGAUGGAGGCGUGUGCGUGUGCUGUGACGAGGAGGAGGAGAGGAGGGCGGCGGCGGCUGUCUAGGGACAGGGAGGGAGUUCGUAUUCUUUUUGCUCUGGACGAAGAAUCGCACGUCGCGAUCGCCCUAGCUCUGCUGGACCGGCCCACGGGUACUUUCAGCUAAACCCUGUUUUUGCUCCUGCGUGAAAAAGGCCCGUAUAAGCCCGUUAGCGUGAAAGCAUUGCUCUGUGGAAUACGGAAUUUUUUCUUCCUAUACUUGUCUAAAAAAAAGUUUUUUCUUCCUACGGUAGCUUUGUAGAGAGUAUGUUUCUUCUUCUUUUUUGUGGCUGGAAGAAGAAAUGCCUGGCGAACAGAUUUUUUCCAGUUCAGCAUUCCUUGUGUUGAAGCCUGUGUGCCUUUAUUGUUCUUUGUUGAGUUAUCCCGGGUCAAGCUUCAACCUGUUGCCCUUGUUCACUAAUUUGGGAUCUCAGAUUGGUGGAUCUCUGGAAAAUGAACAAUUGCUACACUCCUUUGCCUGACUUCUGCUGCUCCACAAGUCUUGAUUGUAUUAUUUCUUUGGCUUCGUCCAUGAACUUCACACUGUUAGGGUCUGUACUACAAGCAUCCCGGACCUCUUUGAUUCGUAGGAUUCUCAAAACGCAAGAAUAGAAGAAAAAUGAUUGGAGCGCCAUGCCCACUUGAAUCUCAUAGAAAUUAGCACAGCGUGUUUGAUGCCACAGAAAAACAAAGGAAGUGAAAAAAAAAGAUUGGAGUGGAUGCUAGAUUUCUAGUAAAAUCUAGUACACAUGAUUUCACAGGAAAAAUUCUUAUAUGAUUCAAUCCUAUGAAUCAAACGACCAAUGUAGGAAAAAACCCUAAAGAUUCUAACCCUUCAAAAAUUCCAUGGAAUUCCUUUGAAUCAAAGAAGCCCUAAGAAACCGCUUUUCCCCGAUAAAGGUAUUAGGAGAGUUGUGCUUAAAACUAUUUCAACAGAAUCCUUCUCUCCUAAAAAAAGUAUUGGAACGUCACAAUAAUUCACCUCAAAACCACAAUAUCUGGGAAAAUACACACAUAUAUUAACCCUUAUGAACGAAUACAUGCACACUUUAUCAUAUGAUCACCUCCAAAAAACUAAGUUGACAACUCUUUAAAUACACGAAGUCGUCUCAUGCGCCUUCUAGUCAGUGGGAAUGUCGUGUCCUACUAAAUGGACAUCGCGGAAAAACAUAUAAUAAAUCUAAGGAAACACGAGCACCCAUCUCAAGUUUAGGACAAUAUUUUCACCUUGUAAACUGUUUUUAUCCAACUUGAUACCUUGGCAGCCAUUGACACUAUGCAGUUGAGGGGGCUCUCUGGACUUAUUGAGCGGACAUCUCUGAAGGUUGCAGGAUGACAUCAUCUGUACGAAGGAAUGCUACAUUUGAACAUUGCAAAUGAAAGCCGGUACAACAAAAAGAAAUAGAAGGUGAGCAAGCACCAGCAAAGGAGACAUCCCAAAAGUGGAAGGCGCCACCAGCGGGAGUCCUAAAAAAAUACUGAUGGGGCCUUCAUUGAAGCAAACAAUCUGCAAGUAAAAAAACAGCGAGUCAAAAAAGAAGCAAACAAUCCGGUGAAUGGGGCUUCACCCUCAAGAAUGACCUGGGCGUGCUACUGGCAACAGGAUCAGGUAACCUGGAGCAUGUUUCAAACCCAUUAUAUGCUGAACUUUUAUCUUUUCAACAAGUUGUGCAUACUGCUAUUCAAAAGGGUUGUCAAAAAGGGAUGUUUGAAACAGAUUGCAUGGUGCUGAUGCAAGCUAUAUUGUUAGUGAUGAAUAUGACCUGUCAAUUCUAGGCACUUUGUUUUAGGAGGUUAAAUUUCUUAUACAUGCGGUCUCACAUGAUGUAUCAAUCGUGAACUAUAAGUGUGAAUGUAAUAUAGCAGCUCGCACUUUUAGCAACCCAGGGCGUGUAUAUGGAAGGUUGUCCUGAAAAUUGGCUAGCCCAAUUUCCCAAGUUUGUAUCAGGUAUUGUUUUUGGUGAUAUAUCCAGCGUUUUACUAUAUUAAUGGAAUGCAUUGUGUUCUUUAAAAAAAUGGAAGCCAGUAGAGUGGCCAAGAGCUAGCUAGGCAUAGCUUUUCAAAUCGUCUAGAUUUUCAGUGGGAUCUUGAUCCCCGGAUAUCUUGUGACGUACUUUAAAACAUGUAAUAAUCGAGUUGGGCAAACAAAAUGUGAUAAUGGCGUCAUCUCCCCUAAUACGACCUCCGGUCCAAACAACUAGGGACAACUAACAAAAUGCGGGAAUGGCAUAAAUGUUAACUGAAGGAAAUAUGCCCUAGAGGCAAAAAUAAAGUUAUUAUUUAUAUUUCCUUAUAUCAUGAUAAAUGUUUAUUAUUCAUGCUAGAAUUGUAUUAACCGGAAACUUGAUACAUGUGUGAAUACAUAGACAAAACAAAGUGUCCCUAGUAUGCCUCUACUAGACUAGCUCGUUAAUCAAAGAUGGUUGAGUUUCCUGACCAUAGACAUGUGUUGUCAUUUGAUGAACGGGAUCACAUCAUUAGAGAAUGAUGUGAUGGACAAGAUCCAUCCGUUAGCUUAGCAUAAUGAUCGUAUAGUUUUAUUGCUAAUGCUUUCGUCAUGACUUAUACAUGUUCCUCUGACUAUGAGAUUAUGCAACUCCCGAAUACCGGAGGAACACCUUGUGUGCUAUCAAACGUCACAACAUAACUGGGUGAUUAUAAAGAUGCUCUACAGGUGUCUUCGAUGGUGUUUGUUGAGUUGGCAUAGAUCGAGAUUAGGAUUUGUCACUCCGUGUAUCGGAGAGGUAUCUCUGGGCCCACCGGUAAUGAUCAUCACUAUAAGCCUUGCAAGCAAUGUGACUAAUGAGUUAGUUACGGGAUGAUGCAUUACGGAACGAGUAAAGAGACUUGCCGGUAACGAGAUUGAACUAGGUAUGAUGAUACCGACGAUCGAAUCUUGGGCAAGUAACAUACCGAUGACAAAGGGAACAACGUAUGUUGUUAUGCGGUUUGACCGAUAAAGAUCUUCGUAGAAUAUGUAGGAGCCAAUAUGAGCAUCCAGGUUCCACUGUUGGUUAUUGACCGGAGAUGUGUCUCGGUCAUAUCUACAUAGUUCUCGAACCCGUAGGGUCCGCACGCUUUACUUUUGAUGACGAUUUGUAUUAUAUGAGUUAUGUGAUUUGGUGACCGAAUAUUGUUCGGAGUCCCGUAUGAGAUCACAGACAUGACGAGGAGUCUUGAAAUGGUCGAGAGGUAAAGAUUCAUAUAUAGGACGAUAGUAUUCGGACACCGGAAGUGUUCUGGGGGUACCGGGUACGUAUCGGGUCACCGGAAGGGGUUCCGGGCACCCCUCCCCCCCGGGCAAAGAUAUGGGCUUAUUGGGCCAAGGGCGGGACAGACCAGCCCCUAGUGGGCUGGUGCGCCCCAUAUAUGCCAAAUAGGAGGAGAAGGAAGGAGGGGAAGAGAGAAAGGAAAGAGGAGGAUUCGGCCUCCCCUUCCCUUCUCUCCCCCCUCUCUUUCCUUCCCCCUCCAACACUUUUGGAAGGGGGGAGGCCGAAUUGGACAAGGUCCGAAGUAGGAUUCCUCCUACUUGGGCGCGCCCUUGCUGCUCCCCUCCCCCUCCCAUCUAUAUAUACGUAGGGAGGGGGAGCCUAGAAAACACAACAAAGAUUGUUAGCCGUGUGUGUCGGUGUCAAAACCGGCGGAUCUCGGGUAGCGGGUCCCGAAAUGUGCGUCUAAGGUCGAUGGUAACAGGAGACAAGGGACACGAUGUUUACCCAGGUUCGGGCCCUCUCUAUGGAGGUAAUACCCUACUUCCUGCUUGAUUGAUCUUGAUGAACAUGAGUAUUACAAGAGUUGAUCUACCACGAGAUCGUAAUGGCUAAACCCUAGAAGUCUAGCCUAUAUGACUAUGGUAAUGAGUAUAUCCCUUCUGGACUACACCCUCCGGUUUAUAUAGACACUGGGGGGAUCUAGGGUUACACAGAGUCGGUUACAUAGGAAGGAAUCUUCAUAGUUGAUCGCCAAGCUUGCCUUCCACGCCAAGGAGAGUCCUAUCCGAACACGGGUACAGUCUUCGGCCUUCGUGUCUUCACAGCCCAUCAGUCCGGCCCAUGGAUAACAGGCCGGACGCCCGAGCACCCCUUAGUCCAGGACUCUCUCAGUAGCCCCUGAACCUGGCUUCGAUGAUGAGGAGUCCGGCGCGCAGAUUGUCUUCGGCAUUGCAAGGCGGGUUCCCUUCUUUCCGAACUCCAAGAUAAUCUCCGGACGCGAUGAUAGUAUCCGGACCUGUCACACACACCAUACACAACCGCAGAGAGAAUAUAAUUUUAUACGAGUCCAAUCCGUUGACAACUUUUUGUAGCACGACAUUACGUCUGACCGGUCAUAAUUCCGAACCGUUUUGUGUCCGCCGCUCCACGUUCCGAGACACGGUUGCCAUUGGCACGUCUUGUCAAAGCAGAGAUCGUGUCCCCUUAUUACAGGAUUCUCGUCAAUACGGGUAUGGGUAACCCAACCAUGCCGUUUACACAGCCCUUGGUAAUAGGCGAGUUCUAAGGCGAGUGGGGAGGCGUUCAAUAUUCACUGCCUUUAUAAGGGGAUAAGGAUUCCCCCUUCCUCUCCCACGCCUUCUCUCUUUCUCCGCCCUUCCAAUCUCGAGCUCCAGCGCCCAAGUUCUCAUCUCCUUUCCACUCGAUCUAGCACUCAACCAUGUCCGGAUCCGGAGGUCAGGGCAAGUGGAUGGUCUCCUCCGUCAAGGAGGAGGACAUUACUGGGCUUCGGGCGGCCGGAUAUUUGGCGAAGGAAAUCACCCACCGUCUGCCGGCCGAGAGACAAGUCGUCCCCACGCUGAAGCCCAACGAGAGGGUGGUAUUCAUCCCUCAUUUAUUUUGCGGGCUAGGGUUCCCACUCCACCCUUUCGUCCGCGGGCUGAUGUAUUAUUACGGGAUAGAUUUCCACGAUCUGUCCCCGAACUCCUUCCUCAACAUCUCGGCGUUUAUCGUCGUGUGUGAGGCCUUCCUCCGCAUCCAACCCCACUUCGAGUUGUGGCUCAAAGUCUUCAACGUGAAGCCGAAGAUGGUGGAUGGCCAGCACGCGGAGUGCGGAGGAGCCAUGGUGAGUAAGCUGUCCAACGUCUCCUGGCCGAAAGGCACUUUUGUGGAUACAAUAAAGGAGUGGCAGAAACAGUGGUUCUACAUCACAGAACCCUGCGGCACCACCUAGGUCGCAGCUGCCAAAUUCCGCUCUGGCGCUCCCGUGCGACUCACCUCCUGGGUCGAGAAGAGUCUGAACUGGUGUUCACCCGAUGAGCUGAUAGCGCUGCAGACGCGCGUUCAAAGCAUGAUAGGCAAGAACGUCAAGCUUGUCGAUGUAAUCCAGGUGAUGCUAGUUCGCCGGAUUCUCCCGUGCCAGCACCGAAGCCGCCCUCUGUGGGAGUUCAAUCCGAAAAAGCACCAGACCCUGGUGAGGCUCUUCGAAACCACUCACGAAGGUGCCUGGAAGUUGCUCUUUAAGGGCAACGAGAAACCGCCGGCCACAGAUUCAGACCGUGGGCACGACAUUAAACACCUCGCCAGCGAGGUAUGUAAUUUUUAACGUAUCCCCUACUUGUUUGUUUCGAGGAUAAUGUCUGAGCUUUUACAAUUGCUUCUUCAGGACUAGAUGGAGAGGGCGAAGCUGAUCAAGUGUCCGGCUCCGCUGCCUGAAGAACCAGUCAUCCCGCAUUUAGCGAAGAUGCUGGUGCCGGUGCCCUAUAAAGCGCUGGAGAAGAAGGCCAAGGGGGCCAAAAGAGACCCCCGCCGCAAGGGUACUUCGGACGUGACGUCCGGAGACGAAGAGACCCCUUCCUCCGUUCCUGAGGAGGACGACGACGAGGAAGAGGAGGAGGAGGAGAACAACCCUCCCCCUGAGGAGGGAAAGAAGAAGAGGGCGGCUUCCGCGCAUCUGGAGGCGGAAACGCCCAAGAAGGGGAAGGGCACCCCAGCGGUCAACACCGUGUGGGACGUCGACAGCAGUCCAGAACGACGCCCCCGUACUAAGCCCCGGGCCGCAUCGUAAGUACCAUGACUCACAUAUACCAGUAUAUCCGGCUUUUCCUCUUUAUCUUGUUGAAGUGGUUAAUUGUGCUAUUGCAGUCCGGCUCGCGGCAGCAUCCAGCGAUCCUCAUCUGGAGGUUCGUGGAUCAGGCGGAAAUGGCCAGCGUGUCACCACCGACCGCUCACUCCCCCGAUGCCAAGGAUGACACCGAAGUGUUGUCUUGGAGGACCGCUCCGAGCCAGGGAGAGGCCCAGGACGCUGUCCAGGAGGCGCCACAAGGCGAGACCUCCGCUACCGGACACAUGGGGGAGCGAAUCCCCAUGGAGACUGGCGAGGAGGGCCGUAUUCAGUUCGGCCCUCAGCCGAAUACGAUUCCGGAGACCAAUACGGCUCCAGAAUCCGGUGAGCAGCCUCCUUCGAAGGAGGGGGGUGCGCCAAUUCCACCGGUGGUCCCUGUCCAACCAGGGGCACCGGAUAACCUGAUGGAGGUGCUACAAGGCGCCUCCAUUGUGGACGAGCACCGUGUCCUUAUGGGGACGGUGAUCGAGAAGGUUCAGUCUGCCAAGAGCGGUCUAAACGAAGCCUGCAACAACCUGUUGACAGGUUUUGAGGUAAGCAACAUACAAAGAGAAAAAACCCAUGCAGACAGUAGCCCCUGAGACACUGUCCGGUGUUCGGAAAGAAAGACCGGACGGAGGAUCAAUCCUUUGUUGUGGGAGACUAACUUAAUAUGUAUGAAUAAGCAAGCGUCGCUGUUGGCCGCGACCUCGCAUGCUGCCAAAGUCUCUGAACUGAAGCAAAGGCUGGAGCGGACCGAGAACGAGCUCGGCGAGGUGAAGAUUCAGCUCUAGGAGAAACAACGUAUGUAACGACUUGUUGUGUAUUCGGGAAGAAUAAAUGGUGUAUAUUGACCGUAGUGUCUUAAUAUGUGUAGGAGCAGCGACCGAGGUCGAGGCCCUGAAAAAGGCCCUGGCCGAAGCCAAGGGGAAGGCUGUCCAGCAGCAAGCCGCCCGUAAGAAGCUCAAGGCCCGGGUCAACAAGGUCCAGCAGGAGCUCCAGGACGCGGUGAAGAAGUGCAAAGCCUUGGAGCGCGAGGCGUCGGUUCAAGAGACCGAACUUACCAAGGCUCGCCAGAGCGCGGAGGCCGCACGGAAUGAGGCCCAGGACGCUCUCCAGGAGAUCCAGGAGGCCAAGAAGAUCGCAGCGGGUAAGGCUUUUAACAUGCAAAGCAAGUAUGCGGAGAGGAAGUACCUUUUACUAACCCGGAUUCGGAGUUGCCCAGGGACUUUUGCGGAUCUACCACGUAGCGUGUCCGAUGCUGCGGAGUUCUUCCGAGCCAAAGAAGGGAAUUCCACGGAGAAGCUGUUCUGGUCGCAGUAUGCUGCGCCAGAACAUCCGGUGCCCUUUGCCGAUCAGCUGAAACAGCUGGUCGAGCUGCACAGGGUGGCCGAACUGGCCAUGAAGGAUUUAAUAAUCCGGCUGUGGCCAGCCGAAGCUAUACCCAGCAGUUAUUUUAGCCUCAUGAAGCGGGUGGUGGAGGCCUGUCCGCGGCUAGACAUUGUCAAGCGAUCAGUCUGCAUCGAAGGUGCACGCAUGGCCUUCGCCCGUUGCAAGAUGUGGUAGGCGAAGAUGGACGCCGUCGAGGUGGCCAGGGGGCCGCCAGAGGGCAAGGAGCACCGCACACCCGAGCGAUAUUUUGCAGAUGUCCUAGAGGGGUCUCAACUUGCAGCAACGCGGUGCGGGCAGGACAUUAUUUUCGAAUGAAUACAUUCGUGUUUGUCUUUGCCUUGUAUGAUGAAAACAAAGCCGGUUUGUAAUAUAAUGUUUGUUAUGUUUUAAUUGUUUCCUCCUGUGCGGCCGUGUUGUAUGGAAUCUGAGGGUUGGCCAGUCGUCGGCUUCUGCCCUCGCGUAGGUAGUAUGGAGGUGUUCGGGGUGGAAUCUAAACAAUCUUGAUCCAAUUAUAUGGUCCUUGAAGGAGUUGUUUAGCGCAACGAACCAGGCAAUCAGACUAUGUGGCUUAAACGCCCUCACUUAGCUAUAGGAGUUUUAUAAUAAAACAUGGAUGCAACCCCUGGUAUACGAACCAGAGUGCUGUCGCGGAAAAAAUCUCCAGCGAUUUGUAACCUCCGAACAGCUGACCGGCUCUCGCCGCAUCAUGACAGUCAGUUUUCGGCUUUCUCUACUGAGGUGCUCAUCCGGUUUAGACCAGGGCACAAUCGCAGUAGUUCUCCCUUUACUACUCUAGCCGAUGUAGCGGUAGGGUAGCAAGCACAGGAGCCGGGCAACCCAACUAUUGACCAAAGACAUGAUUCGGAGCCAAUGCAUAUAAUGCUAAAUUCGGGGUGCCGAACUUAUCUAUAAGAAGUGUUCGGACUUUGUUGCCGUAUUAUGGGGCGAUGGGGAGCCCCUGGCAAAUAUGAAUCGUACCAAAGUGUAUGGGUGCUAGAAGAGAAAUAAUUAAUGGUAAAAGGAAAACAGAAAGGGAGCAGAGGUAGUAUCUGGGGCCCUUGAACUUGGGCCGUGAACUGUUUCCAUUAUAAUUGGGUUAAUGCGUUAAAGCGCAUUGAUACAAAUAGUGUGAUAAGCCACCGGCUAUUUAACAUGCCGUAACCAAAGGCGAGCUGCGUUUGGGUCCUGAAAACAGGUAGAGUAAUCGUUGGAUUGUCCUCUAGAGCUUCCCCUGUAUGCCUGUGCUCUGUGCCAAUCUGGUGUACUUGUCCUUUGACAGGACCAGUGAUCACGCCAUCAAAGGAGGCCUGUAUAAAAGAGACCUGAAAAGGGGGGAAAGGAAAUAGUAAAGGUACAAGUGAGUCCGGGAUCGGUGUAGCCGAACUGUGGACCACAAGCUAGCUAUGCCUCCGUUGAUGCCCAUGGGAUUUUGAGUGCGUAAUUAUGUACGCGUGGUACGAAUGCCACUACCUCAUCGGGACUGGGACGGAGGACGAAUUGAUAAUCGAGCUCUUGACGAGCCGAGUUGUCCUGUUGCAGUGUGGUCCGGACCCUCUUAGUGAUGUCCAGGGGCUCGGCAGCCGGAUUAUAGUUCUGCUUGAAAAGGCCGCUCUGUACCUUUGCUGCUAGGGCGGCUGUGUGCUCCUCUGUACGGAGGGAGCGUUCCGUGUUUCCAUUGACUGUUAUGACGCCGCGUGGACCGGGCAUCUUGAGCUUGAGAUAAGCAUAAUGUGGCACCGCGUUGAAUCUAGCAAACGCGGUUCGUCCGAGCAGUGCGUGGUAGCCGCAGCGGAAGGGGACGAUAUCGAAGAUUAGCUCUUCGCUUUGGAAGUUGUCCGGGGAACCGAAGACCACCUCCAGCGUGAUUGAGCCCGUACAACGGGCCUCUAUGCCUGGUAUGACUCCUUUAAAGGUAGUCUUUGUGGGCUUGAUUUGUGAGGGAUUAAUGCCCAUUUUGCGCACUGUAUCCUGAUAGAGCAGGUUGAGGCUGCUACCACCGUCCAUUAGGACUCGUGUUAGGUGAAAUCCGUCAAUGAUUGGGUCGAGGACCAGUGCGGCCGAACCGCCAUGACGGAUACUAGUUGGAUGAUCUCGACGAUCAAAGGUGAUCAGGAAUGACGACCACAGAUUGAAUUUUGGGGCGACUGGCUCUACUGCAUAGAUGUCCCUGAGUGCGCGCUUGCGCUCCCUUUUGGGGAUGUGUGUAGCAUAUAUCAUGUUCACCGUUUUGACUUGAGGGGGAAAUUUCUUCUGCCCCCCAGUGUUUGGCUGCCAGGGCUCUUCGUCAUCGUCCUCACUUUGUGGUACCUUUUCCUCGUUCUCGGCAUUUAACUUGCCAGCCUGUUUAAAAACCCAACAAUCUCUGUUGGUAUGAUUGACUUGUUUGUCCGGGGUGCCAUGUAUCUGACACGGACGGUCGAGUAUGCGGUCCAAGCUGGAUGGUCCCUCACUGUUCCUUUUAUAGGGCUUUUUCCGCUGGCCGGACUUGGAGCCACUGAAUCCAGCGUUAAUUGUAGUGUCAUCGGUGUUAUCGCCAUUGCUUCGGCGUUUGUGUCUAUUGCACCGGAGCUUGCCGGUGCUGUUUUUGGCCUCGGAGGGGCCUGCCUCGCUGGCUGUGUUUUUGCUACGAGCCAGCCAGCUAUCCUCACCCGCGCAAAAGCGGGUCAUGAGUGCUGUGAGGGCUGCCAUGGAUUUCGGCUUUUCUUGGCCGAGGUGGCGGGCGAGCCAUUCAUCGCGGAUGCUGUGUUUGAAGGCCGCUAGGGCUUCGGCAUCCGGACAGUCAACGAUCCAGUUCUUUUUGGUUAGGAACCUAGUCCAGAUUUUUUUGGCUGAUUCUCUAGGUUGUUGAACUAUAUGACUUAAGUCAUCGACGUCUGGUGGUCGGACAUAAGUACCUUGGAAGUUGUCAAGAAAAGCUUCUUCCAAGUCCUCCCAGCUGCCGAUUGAAUUUUCAGGCAGGCUGUUUAACCAGUGUUGAGCUGGCCCUUUGAGCUUUAGUGGGAGGUAUUUGAUGGCGUAGAGGUCGUCUCCACAGGCCAUAUGGAUGUGGAGAAUAAAAUCCUCAAUCCAUACUGCGGGAUCGGUUGUUCCGUCGUAUGAUUCAAUGUUGACGGGCUUGAACCCCUCGGGGAAUUCAUGAUCCAUUACUUCAUCUGUGAAGCAAAGAGGGUGUGCGGCGCCUCUAUAUCGGUCCGCGUCACGGCGCACCUCCGAUGGAGUCCGCAUGCGGUUAUCGGCCCGGGCGUGACUAGGUUUGUCACGUCCGAAUAGGUAGCCGUCGUUGCGAGUCGAAAAAUGUCCUCGUGAUCUGUAGAUUGAUCUGGUGUGUCCUGCUCUACUGUCCAGGUCCUGCCGAAGGUCGUAUGUAUAGUCCCGAGCUGUUUUGUCUCUGUUUUUUUGAGGCGGUGGGGCGGGCUGCUGUUCUGCCUGAGUUGCUGAUACGUCUCCGUCGUAUCUAUAAUUUUUGAUUGUUCCAUGCCAAUAUUAUUCAACUUUCAUAUACUUUUGGCAACUUUUUAUAUUAUUUUUGGGACUAACAUAUUGAUCUAGUGCCCAGUGCCAGUUCCUGUUUGUUGCAUGUUUUAUGUUUCGGAGAAACCCCAUAUCAAAUGGAGUCCAAACGGGAUAAAAACGGACGGAGAAUUAUUUUGGAAUAUUUGUGAUUUUUGGGAAGUAAAAUCAACGCGAGACGGUGCCCGAGGUGGCCACGAGGGUGGGGCCCACGCCCACUCUAGGCAGGCGCGCCCCUGACCCUCGUGGGCCCCCCAUAAGGCGGUUGAUGCCCUUCUUCGACCACAAGAAAGCUAAUUUUUGGAAAAAGAUCUGGGCGAAGGUUUGAAUCCAAUCGGAGUUACGGAUCUCCAGAUAUAAAAGAAACGGUGCCAGGGCAGAAUCCCAGAACGCAGAGACAGAGAGAAACAGAGAGAUAGAUCCAAUCUCGGAGGGGCUCUCGCCCCUCCCACGCCAUGGAGGCCAAGGACUAGAGGGGAAACCCUUCUCCCAUCUAGGGAGGAGGUCAAGGAAGAAGAAGAAGAAGACGAAGGGGCCCCCUCUCCCCUUCUCUUCCGGUGGCACCGGAACGCCGCCGUGGCCAUCAUCAUCACCGCAAUCUUCACCAACAACUUCACCGCCAUCAUCACCAACUCUUCCCCCCUCUAUGCAGCCGUGUAACCUCUCUCUUACCCGCUGUAAUCUCUACUUAAACAUGGUGCUCAACGCUAUAUAUUAUUUCCCAAUGAUGUAUGGCUAUCCUAUGAUGUUUGAGUAGAUCCGUUUUGUCCUAUGGGUUAUUUGAUGAUCAAGAUUGGUUUGAGUUGCAUGUUUUAUUAUUGGUGUUGUCCUAUGGUGAUCUCCGUGUCGCGCAAGCGUGAGGGAUCCUCGCUGUAGGGUUUGCAAUAUGUUUAUGAUUUGCUUAUGGUGGGUGGCGUGAGUGACAGAAACACAGACCCGAGUAAGUAGGUUGUUUGAGUAUGGGAUAAAGGGGACUUUAUACUUUACUUCUAUGGUUGGGUUUUACCUUAAUGAAUCUUUAGUAGUUGUGGACGCUUGCUAGAGUUCCAAUCAUAAGUGCAUAUGAUCCAAGUAGAGAAAGUAUGUUAGCUUAUGCGUCUCCCUCAAAUAAAAUUGCAAUAGUGAUUACCGGUCUAGUUAUCGAUUGCCUAAGGACAAAUAACUUUCUCGUGACAACAAACUCUUUACUAAAACUAAUUUAGUUGUGUCUUUAUCUAAGCAGCCCCUAGCUUUUAUUUACGCGCUCUUUAUAUUCUUGCAAACCUAUCCAAAAACACCUACAAAGUACUUCUAGUUUCAUACUUGUUUUCGGUAAAGCGAACGUCAAGUGUGCGUAGAGUUGUAUCGGUGGUCGAUAGAACUUGAGGGAAUAUUUGUUCUACCUUUAGCUCCUCGUUGGGUUCGACACUCUUACUUAUCAAAAGAGGCUACAAUUGAUCCCCUAUACUUGUGGGUUAUCAAGACCUUUUUCUGGCGCCGUUGCCGGGGAGUCAUAGCCGGGGGUGAAUAUUCUCAUGUGUGCUUGUUUGCUUUAUCACUAAGUAAUUUUUAUUUGUUGUUCUUAGUUGUUCUUUAUAUUUAGUUAUGGAUAUGGAACACGAAAUACCAAAAAAAAAUUAGGUGUACUUGAUGCUCAUGGAGAUGGGGAACCUCCUAAAACCCUCGAUGCUGGUUAUGUGAAAGAUAUUAUGUACUACUUUGAUAAUCCUGAGAAAACCCCAUUCAACUAUGUAAUGGGAGUAACGUUGGAUCAACAUGAAUACUUUAGGGAUUAUCACCUGACACAAAAAGGGAAACUAUUAUGGGAUCAAAUUCAUAUACUGAAGUGGUAUGCUCGGCAAGUAUGCCUGAGUUAUGAUUAUACUUGUUGCUCUAGGAUGAAGGCUCCACACCUUCUCUUUUCAUGCAAAUUUAAUGAUAAUAAAACCUUAGCUUCUUCUGCUAAUGGUAUAUAUGAUUACUAUGAUGUGGAACAAAUAGAAGAAUUUGUUGCUUUUAUGGGUGCUUAUGAAAUUGAAUCUAUGUUUAAAGAGUUUGAAGAUUUUGAUGAUGAUGUUUAUAGACCUGAAAAUUUAGCUAUCCUCAAAUAUUGCUAUGAGAAUUAUGAAUACAAUUCCGAUAUUAAUGCACUUAUUGAGAAAGUCUCCGCUGUCCAAGAAGAGAUUAAUAUUUUGCAGGAAUCUAUGGAAGAAGAAGUUGAUGAAACUGUGAGCUCAUUGGAUGAAAAAGAUGAGGAGGA